UAUACACCUUAUCCUGCUGUAUUAAACCUCUUAAACUGUUCGCCUGUGUCCGGCUCCGCUACUGUUGGUCCACAUUAACUGAACGUAACAGUUACUUGGAUAAUUGUGGCAAUUCCAGAGCUAAUACAUGCCAACGAGCGCUGACCUCCGGGGAUGCGUGCAUUUAUCAGACCCAAAACCCAUGCGGUGUCGCCCCCCACCUCGGGGAGCGCCCCGGCCACUUUGGUGACUCUAGAUAACCUCGAGCCGAUCGCUGGCCCUCAUGGCGGCGACGUCUCAUUCGAAUAUCUGCCCUCUCAACUUUUGAUGGUACUUUCUGUGCCUACCAUGGUGACCAAGGGUAACGGGCAAUCAGGGUUCGAUUCCGGAGAGGGAGCCUAAGAAACGGCUACCACAUCCAAGGAAGGUAGCAGGCACGCAAAUUACCCACUCCCGACUCGGGGAGGUAGUGACAAAAAAUAACAAUACAGGACUCUUUCGAGGCUCUGUAAUUGGAAUGAGUACACUAAAUCUUUUAACCAGGAUCCAUCGGAGGGCAAGUCUGGUGCCAGCAGCCGCGGUAAUUCCAGCUCCAAUAGCGUAUCUUAAAGUUGCUGCGGUUAAAAAGCUCGUAGUUGGAUCUUGGGAUUGAGCUGACUGUCUGCCGCGAGGCGAGCCACCGUCUGUCCCAGCCCCUGCCUCUCGGCGCCCCCUCAAUGCUCUUAGGUGAGAGUCCCGCGGGGUCCGAAGCGUUUACUUUGAAAAAAUUUGAGUGUUCAAAGCAGGCCCCGGUCGCCUGAAUACCGCAGCUAGGAAUAAUGGAAUAGGACUCCAGUUCUAUUUCGUAGGUUUUCUUCACUGAACUGGGGCCAUGAUUAAGAGGGAUGGCCGAUGGCAUUUGUAUUGUGCCGCUAGAGUUGACAUUUUUGGACCGGCGCAAGACGGGCGAAAUCGAAAGCAUUUGCCAAGACUGUUUUCAUUAAUCAAGAACGAAAGUUGGAGGUUCGAAAAUGAUCAGAUAGCAUCGUAGUUCCGACCGUAAACGAUGCCAACUAGCGAUCUGGCGGCGUUAUUCCCAUGACCUGCCGGGCAGCGUCUGGGAAACCAAAGUCUUUGGGUUCCGGGGCGAGUAUGGUUGCAAAGCUGAAACUUAAAGGAAAGCCUGCGGCUUAAUUUAACUCAACACGGGAAACCUCAUCCGGCCCGGACACGGAAAGGAUUGACAGAUUGAUAGCUCUUUCUCGAUUCUGUGGGUGGUGGUGCAUGGCUGCUCUUAGUUGGUGGAGCGGCAUGCGGAGGCAUUCAGCCAAAACAUGUCUGUGAUGCCCUUAGAUGUCCGGGGCUGCACGAGCUUCGCACUGAGUAGAUCAGCGUGUGUCUACCCUUCGCCGAGAGGCGUGGGUAACCCGCUGAACCCCACUCGUGAGUGGGAUUGGGGAUUGCAAUUAUUUCCCAUGAACGAGGAAUUCCCAGUAAGUGCGGGUCAUAAGCUCACGUUGAUUAAGUCCUUGCCCUUUGUACACACCGCCCAUCGCUACUACCGAUUGGAUGGUUUAGUGAGUUCUCGCACAGCCCCGCCGGGGUUGUUCGCGGAUCCUGGCAGAGCGCCGAGAAGACGGUCGAACUUGACUAUCUAGAAAAAGUAAAACUUGUAACAAGGUUUCCGUAGGUGAACCUGCCUGCG
This 1663-nucleotide ribosomal RNA is filed under the name Mola mola (ocean sunfish). RNAcentral describes it as "SSU rRNA". It matches the Rfam family "Eukaryotic small subunit ribosomal RNA". Lineage: Eukaryota; Metazoa; Chordata; Actinopteri; Tetraodontiformes; Molidae. The record is from RNAcentral.